This 3708-nucleotide long non-coding RNA is filed under the name Capsicum annuum. RNAcentral's name for it is "long non-coding RNA (CANN_LNC013180)". The record is from RNAcentral. Lineage: Eukaryota; Viridiplantae; Streptophyta; Magnoliopsida; Solanales; Solanaceae.
CGCUACCACAUACAAAGAAAGUAAUGUAAUUAUCGCAAAAUAUGCAUUUUAAGUAUGAAAAGGAUGAUAAUAUAAUUUUCUAUAUAUUAGAAAAAAUUAAAAUUGUAUAAUUCUACAAGAAAAAUUGAAGAAAUAUGUAGGUUUAAAUGGUUAACUAUAAUUAUUUAUGAAGUAGGUAACGUAUCUUAUGGCAUGGGAAUUUAUUUGUGGAACGUACUUUCGAGAAUGUUAAAAAAAAACAGAUGCUGAGGUGUGGAUGUACCAAAACUAUGUAAAAGAAAUAAUAAGGAUAAUAAUAAUAAUUAUAAUAAUAAUGAUAGUAAUAAAUUAAAAUAAUGACGAUAGUUUCAGUAUGACAAUAAUAAUAAUAAUGGUAAUAACAAUAGUAUUAGUAGUAGUAGUAGUAAUAAUAAUAAUAAUAAUUGAAAUUGUAACAAAUAUUAUAGUGUAAAUAAUAAUGGUAAUAAUAAAUAUGACGUAAAAUAGUUGUGAAAAUAAUAUGAUGUACCUUGUAUGUGGUAGCGAAAGAAUGUAUAAACCUCGCGUUUUCUAAUCUCUUGAGAAUCCGAAAAUCCAAAUGAGCAUAAAAACAUAAAAUAGCUUGAACGUUAGUGUUAUGUAAAAAAGUUAAAGUUGAUGAAUGAACUCUUUUAAGAAAAUCCGAAAUUUCGAUAACUUUCUCAAGUUAAGACUAAAAUUUUAUUUAUUUUAAAAAAUGUGAAGGUUGAUAAUCUUAUUUAGGAUAUCGGUAAUAAGUUUUCAAAGAGUUGACCAAUUGUGGUAGAAAAAAAUUUUUUUUUUUUUUGGUGAUAGCCACGUGUUAUUUGCGAAAGUCGCAGUAUUAAAACUACUUCUAAAGGAUCAACAAAUAACAAGAUAACAUAAAUUCAAUAACUAAGUAAAUUUAUCUAAAAAUAAAUUCAACAACAAGAGUUAGUAUCAUUUUAAAACUCAACAUGACAAGUAUAAAUCGAAUUCAGAGAAGAUAAGAGAUACUAGACUCCAUUUAGGAGUUUGGACUUCUAAUUUGCGUGACUCCGAAGGCUCUGCGAUCCUAGUAGCGUUUGACCCAAUGCUUGGGUCAGAAAAUGAGUUUCGUUAUGAAACUCCAACUCCCGAAUGUACAUGAAAAUAAAAGGUAAACGGAUUAGAAACUUAUCAAAUAGCAAAUAUUUGCGGGUUAUAAUUUGAGAAACAUUUACCAAACAAAGAUCAUCAAGGCUCCAUUAAAUAUAAUUUCAAUGGGGAAAGGACACGAGAGCACUUUGACACACAUCUGGGCAAAGAGGAAACUCAAAUUACCUUAUAUAACUCAUAUAUUCAGUAAUGGUGCAAAACAACCAAAAUACCCAUUUGACUCAAAUAUGCUAGGUUCACGUGGUUAGAGCCAGGGGAAGAGAUGUUCAUUAAAAAGGAACCUAGGUUAAUGACCUAUGACUUUAAAACCCAUUUCUUAAAAUGAGGCAAUCCUCAGAUACUAAGAAAAAUCAGCCACCAAAAUCACAAAUUCAAAAGUAACCACAAGAAGCCUUUUGUUUAGUUGUUGUUAACAUAAAUUAGACUUAAAGCAAUAGUUUUAAGGCCUAGAUAGACAAGCAUUUAUGUAUGAGUUUAGGUGUUAGCCGAGAGGGAGGACAAACGAGACGUACGACCUUGCUGAGAAGAAUAAGCAUUUAGACACACCUACUUGAGGAAUCAAAAUGGGUGGAAAAAAAAAAAAAAAAAGAGCAGAGCAAAACGCCAACGGGCAUACAUGGUAGACUCAAUAUAGCUUCCCACUUCUCCCCUUUUAACACAUAACCAUUUAAAACAAAUUUGAAACUUCAAUCCAUAUGUCACUAUAUACUAGAAAAAGAAACGGGACAACCCGCUACAAUGAUCGUAAAAGUAAAUAUAUCCCCAACUUAACAAGUGGCGAGAUAUACGAGAGAAGAAUGGAAAAUAAAAUGAGUGAUAUGAUUUCAAAUUCCAAUAUUUUCAUAUAACAACUGAAAUAGGAGAUGUUUUUUCGGGGAAAGUUGAAAGAUGGACAACCCCUUCAAUCGCGUAUAAAAGAAACUAAACGAUUCACAUAAUCUUAAUGCUUUUGAAGGAUCAAUUUAAACAAUGCCUUAAAACAGACAUGUACUAAUCCAAAUCUUGUAAAAUAACACGUGGAAACUCAUAAAUAAGUACUCUUAUCCAAAGAGGAUACAGAGAAACACAAAGACACAGGUAUACUUCAGUGAAGAAACUAAAAGAAGAAAAAAAAAAUCAGCAGUACCACACAAAAUAAACCCACUGUUAAUUCCGGUAAAGCUGUAUUGAGCCAAACAUACUACAUCAUUUACAACAACCGAGAUAUUAUAGUAGCCAAUUUACCUAGAAAUACCACUGGCCUACCCACAUUAUAAACAUUGAUUCUUCAUCCAAACAUGGAAAGACUAAAUGGAACCAAAAACGUGUAUCAUGAAAAGGUAAAAACAAAACUAACAUUUGAAUAGAUUCUAGACAAGCUAUGUUGACCAUAUUAGAUUACACUAUUUCCUCCCCGUAGCAUAUAAAUGGACAGCCAAUGCAAGGAUUUUAAUUUUCGAGUCAUAUUCACGGCCAGCAAAACGAGACGUCUAAACGCAAACUUUAUUGAGUCUAGUUAAGCUAAAUUGCCGGCGACAAACAGUUUGUGAACAACACUGCCUAACAAAACAUCUACACACUAUUGUAAUUCAUACUUAGGUUCGUAAACAAACCAAAAGAAUUAACGGACUCAAAUGACCGGUGGAUUAUCAAAACUAUAGCGUAAUCCGGUGGAAACCAAAAAAUUUCCAUCGGACUCCGACUUCACCAAUAUCGGAAAGAAAUAAAAAUUUUGGAAAAACUUUUGCUUCUUCAGAAAGCUGAUCCGAACCUCUUCGAAACUUGCUUUUCUCUCAAAUUUUCUUGCUCUUUUUCUCUCAGAUUUUUCACUUCUUUUUUUUUUUCGCUUCUUAAACUCUCUAUUUUUUCUAUCGAAUUCACUUUCUCUUUCAGAUCUUCCACCUUUUUCUCUCAGAUCUUCUUCUUGUUGUUUUUUUCGAUCUUCUUCAACUUCCCCCUCUUUAUCUUGUUCUCUCUAUUGCUUUCUCUCUUUUUGAUGUUCAUCCCAAUUUUCUUCUCUCUUUUUUCUUGUUCUUUUAGGGUCGAGAGCUCCCUAUUUAUAGGCUAAAAUCGGACUUGAAAGUCCAGAUUUGAAGCCAAAGUUGAAGAAAAACGCAAGAACUAAGAAGAAAAUAUUUGAAAUUCAAAUCCGGAUCUCCAAAAUCCUCCCUUUUCAGAGUUAUGAUGGAAAAUUUCAAAAUCAAAAGCAGGUCGUAUCAUCAAUUUGGGUCUGUUUCUUCUGAUAUUGGGUUUCAUGGGUUGAAGCAAACAGAUAGGGGUGGCAGCCAUGGCUGCCACGACAUGACUAGGUUUCCGUUUGGGGGGUGGGGUAGGUGAGAAAGGGCCUGUAUUUUUUGAGAAAUUGGAAGGGACAAGACCAUGGGGCUCCUUGAGGGACUCAUUCACGUUUCUGAUUUGGAAAAGACUGUCGCUGCUCUUCUUUUCUUUUAGACAGAGAAAGGGACAAGUGAAAGGCUUUAAAUGCAAAGCCCUUUUGAAAUCUUGACCAAAUUUUAAUUCGUCCGAUUUUUCUAAAAUGAUAAUAGUACAAAAGGUUUAUAUAUAUAUGGAAAGUUUGUUUAAAAUUAAUUA